Molecule: long non-coding RNA, 594 nt
Filed under: Mytilus galloprovincialis (Mediterranean mussel)
Lineage: Eukaryota; Metazoa; Mollusca; Bivalvia; Mytilida; Mytilidae
Source: RNAcentral
GUUGCAUAUAUUUCAGUAAUUAAAAUUUGUUUACACAGAUGCAUAUGAUUAAUCUUAGUACAUUUGAUGCGAAUUAUUUUCUUUGCACUUUACUUUGUCUUGACACAAGAAAGCACAAAAUAGUCUGUGUAGUCUAGAUAAAGGCACACGGGCAACCCAUAAUCAAUAGUACAUAAAUGCAUGCAAUGGAUGAAUAAUUUUAGAUAACAGUGCUGGUACAAGCCAGUUUUAACAAUUUCUUAUGAUUUAAUCUGACAGGGGCAUUGGUAUAUGUAUAUGAAUAUCCUUGGACUUUUCCAAUCUGGUAAUAAAAUCAUUUCUAAAGAGGGACGUCCGAUUUUCAGUUUGACGGUACGGUCUAGAUGAGGACGUCGAAUAUGUGCAUGGCUGCAAGGCGAAUUUAUAAUAUAUGCUCGUAUCCUGCAUGCACAUAUGUUCCAAAAAUUCCGAUUCUUUGUGAUUGCUGCUCCAUAGAUCCUGGAUAUUGUAUUUUUUAGUUAACGUGUCCUGGAUAUGUAUGAAAUAUUUGACGCAGGACGUUUAACAGACAACAAUAAUUCAUCGUUAUAUUUUCCGACAAACGUUCAACUUGAU